This 450-nucleotide ribosomal RNA is filed under the name uncultured bacterium. RNAcentral's name for it is "partial 16S ribosomal RNA". It matches the Rfam family "Bacterial small subunit ribosomal RNA", at positions 338 to 795 of the family's 1533-position model. The record is from RNAcentral.
CCUACGGGUGGCAGCAGUGAGGAAUAUUGGUCAAUGGACGCAAGUCUGAACCAGCCAUGCCGCGUGAAGGAUGAAGGCCUUCUGGGUUGUAAACUUCUUUUAUCUGGGAAGAAACCCCUGAUUUCUAUUAGGGCCGACGGUACCAGAGGAAUAAGCACCGGCUAACUCCGUCCCAGCAGCCGCGGUAAUACGGAGGGUGCAAGCGUUAUCCGGAUUCACUGGGUUUAAAGCGUGUGUAGGCGGCAGUUUUGAAAUAUCCGAGCUUAACUUGGAAUCUGCCAUUGAUACUAAUCGUCUUGAAUUCUGUUGAGGUGGGCGGAAUAUGUCAUGUAGCGGUGAAAUGCAUAGAUAUGACAUAGAACACCGAUUGCGAAGGCAGCUCACUAAGCAGACAUUGACGCUGAGGCACGAAAGCGUGGGGAUCAAACAGGAUUAGAUACCCUUGUAGUC